Molecule: ribosomal RNA, 557 nt
Filed under: uncultured bacterium
Lineage: Bacteria
Description: bacterial SSU rRNA
Rfam family: Bacterial small subunit ribosomal RNA
Source: RNAcentral
ACGGGUGAGUAACGCGUGGGAAUCUACCUUUUGCUACGGAACAACAGUUGGAAACGACUGCUAAUACCGUAUGUGCCCUUCGGGGGAAAGAUUUAUCGGCAAAGGAUGAGCCCGCGUUGGAUUAGCUAGUUGGUGAGGUAAAGGCUCACCAAGGCGACGAUCCAUAGCUGGUCUGAGAGGAUGAUCAGCCACACUGGGACUGAGACACGGCCCAGACUCCUACGGGAGGCAGCAGUGGGGAAUAUUGGACAAUGGGCGCAAGCCUGAUCCAGCCAUGCCGCGUGAGUGAUGAAGGCCCUAGGGUUGUAAAGCUCUUUCACCGGUGAAGAUAAUGACGGUAACCGGAGAAGAAGCCCCGGCUAACUUCGUGCCAGCAGCCGCGGUAAUACGAAGGGGGCUAGCGUUGUUCGGAUUUACUGGGCGUAAAGCGCACGUAGGCGGAUUUUUAAGUCAGGGGUGAAAUCCCGGGGCUCAACCCCGGAACUGCCUUUGAUACUGGAAGUCUUGAGUAUGGUAGAGGUGAGUGGAAUUCCGAGUGUAGAGGUGAAAUUCGUAGA